RNAcentral lists this ribosomal RNA (237 nucleotides) under uncultured bacterium. RNAcentral describes it as "partial 16S ribosomal RNA". It matches the Rfam family "Bacterial small subunit ribosomal RNA", at positions 100 to 334 of the family's 1533-position model. The record is from RNAcentral.
CCGGCACGGGUGAGUAACACGUAUCCAACCUGCCGUCUACUCUUGGACAGCCUUCUGAAAGGAAGAUUAAUACAAGAUGGCAUCAUGAGUUCACAUGUUCACAUGAUUAAAGGUAUUCCGGUAGACGAUGGGGAUGCGUUCCAUUAGAUAGUGGGCGGGGUAACGGCCCACCUAGUCUUCGAUGGAUAGGGGUUCUGAGAGGAAGGUCCCCCACAUUGGAACUGAGACACGGUCCAA